CCUGGCUCAGGAUGAACGCUAGCGACAGGCCUAACACAUGCAAGUCAGGGGCAGCACAAGGAGCAAUCUGAGGUGGCGACCGGCGCACGGGUGAGUAACACGUAUACAACCUGCCUGUAAGCGGGGAAUAACCCGUUGAAAGACGGACUAAUACCGCAUAAUACUAAAUUACUGCAUGGUAAUUUAUUUAAACAUUUAUGGCUUACAGAUGGGCAUGCGCAUGAUUAGCUAGUUGGAGAGGUAACGGCUCCCCAAGGCAACGAUCAUUAGGGGUUCUGAGAGGAAGGUCCCCCACACUGGUACUGAGACACGGACCAGACUCCUACGGGAGGCAGCAGUGAGGAAUAUUGGUCAAUGGACGAGAGUCUGAACCAGCCAAGUCGCGUGCAGGAAGAAUGUCCCUAUGGAUUGUAAACUGCUUUUGCAGGGGAAUAAAGUGCAUCACGUGUGAUGUUUUGUAUGUACUCUGCGAAUAAGGAUCGGCUAACUCCGUGCCAGCCGCCGC
This 505-nucleotide ribosomal RNA is filed under the name uncultured bacterium. RNAcentral describes it as "bacterial SSU rRNA". It matches the Rfam family "Bacterial small subunit ribosomal RNA", at positions 18 to 518 of the family's 1533-position model. The record is from RNAcentral.